RNAcentral lists this long non-coding RNA (309 nucleotides) under Homo sapiens (human). Its description in RNAcentral is "HSALNT0136619". The record is from RNAcentral. Lineage: Eukaryota; Metazoa; Chordata; Mammalia; Primates; Hominidae.
CAAGAAUAUAGUAGCCUCUUAAAAGAAUCUGAACAGCUUUCUAUUUUUCUUUUUCUAUUUUGUGAGACAAAAAGUUACAAAAGGAACUUUACUGCAUGACAUUGAGAAUCACAACUCUGUUUAACUCUAGGAAAUCUCAGUUAUAUUCUACAGGAAAGGCACCCACUGAAAUACCUAAAGAUGCAAGAUGGCUGAUGUUUUGUUACAAUAGUUUUUUCUAUUUAAUAAAGCAUUUACCAGAUGUUUUUCUACCAACAUAAAUAAAUAAACCAAUAAAACUCCUAUUGUUUUACAAAUGUGUUGUUUUCA